UUUGAUUGAUUCUUUGACUUUGUUUUUCUUUGGCCGUCCAGUCAAAAAACGUGUCUUAUUUUGAUCCCAAGUUCAUCCAAGGGCGCACGGCCAGUCACAUGAAUUGCUUGUGAUCGAUAGGAAUUUGGCGGGAAAAUUCCCGGCUGAUGAGAAUGAUUAUAGAUUCUUAUGAACCCGUUGAAUGGCAAUGAAUUAUCUUCGUCUUCUUCGGAAUGGACAGGCAUUCUUCAACUUCACGUCAAAUUCCUCGAGGCGCUUGUUAUAAAGGAAUACGAAAUGAAUAAAUCACACAAAUGUUUACACACAUUAUUCACAAGCACGCUCAUGGUUUGCUACAAAAAAUCUCUCUCAAUACAGAGCCAGAGAUCGAGCGAGAUAAUGGAAGAGUAGAACUGACCCUCUUGCUCAGACAGGCGCUGAUAUUGACGAUAGCUGUCGGUGAUUCCUUGGAGAAAAUGAGAUGUCUGAGCGAGUCGAUUGAUGAAACCAGAUAUGGAUUUUUGCUAAUACUGGAUUUUGCAAAGAACUGGAUCGUAGGAAGAAGCAAGAUGCGUGCGUGCAAUAUGCAACAAUGACAAGAGCUGUAAGAUUAAACACAAAACCAGAUAAUAUUUGAAACUUUGAGAUAAAAUGUUAGGUUUCAGCGAGGAACGGAUCUGAGUUCGCUUUAAUAGCAGAUAUUUGUUAACCCGUAAUGGAGACCAGGAGAUUUUCCUUUUUUUUCUUUUUUUUUGUUUUUUGUUUGUUUUUUUUUUUUUUUUUUAUGGAGACUACCGAAUAAUCUGAGAGAGUUAGCAUACUUGAUAUUGACUGUAAAAAGAAUAAAUUUGCCAGAAAUUUAAGCUUUUA
Molecule: long non-coding RNA, 849 nt
Organism: Stylophora pistillata
Lineage: Eukaryota; Metazoa; Cnidaria; Anthozoa; Scleractinia; Pocilloporidae
Source: RefSeq, a predicted model, not a curated record